Molecule: long non-coding RNA, 845 nt
Filed under: Lynx pardinus (Iberian lynx)
Lineage: Eukaryota; Metazoa; Chordata; Mammalia; Carnivora; Felidae
Source: RNAcentral
GGCCCUGCAGCCUAGGCUACAUUCCCUAGCCUCCUUUGCAGCUAGGCGUGUGGCUAUGUGACUGACUGGGUUCUGGCCGAUGGGAUGUGAGCACAAAGUGAUGUGUACAACUUAAGUCAAGGAAGGGGCCUGGUCUUCUUUGCCUCGCCCCGCCCCCUUCUUCUGAGCAGAUAGAAGGUGGAUGUGAUGGCUGGAGUUCCAGCAGCUCUUUUGGACCAGGAGACAACUCUAGGAGUAGAAGCCAAUAGAGGAAAGAGAAGGGAGAAACCUGGGCUCUGACAUCACGACAUCAUACAGGUCAGAAAUCAAUGUCCAUAUUCUUAAAGCCAUGGUUAUUCGGAGUUUCCUUUUACCUACAGCCAGUACUAUUUCUAAAUGAUGCAUCAUGUUUUUGGCUGGGGGGUGAAGUUCCAGCCAGUUGCAGAGGGGCUGUAGGGGACCUACCAUGUGUGAGAGGCUGGGGCUAGCAUGAAGACGGAACAGAUAAUUAUUAUGCACAACAGUAACUGUGACAUGUAUCACUGUGUGUACAGCACUUAGCCCGGUACCUGGCACAGAGUAAGAGCCCAAUAAAUGUUAGCAACUGUGUUGUCCUUACAGGUGAUUAAACCAUGUAUCCCGGCACGGAAGAUACAAAGCCCGGGGGGAGGAGACAUUUGAAUAUGGCCCUAAAGAUGAAACGAGAAAGAGCAGGGGCACCCGGGUGGCUCAGUCGGUGGAGCGUCGCACUUCAGCUCCGGUCACCAUCUCGCAGUUCGUGGGUUCGAGGCCCGGGUCAGGCUCUGUGUGGACAGCUCAGCGCCUGGAGCCUGCUUCAGAUUCUGUGUCUCCUCCUCUCUCUGCCC